RNAcentral lists this ribosomal RNA (468 nucleotides) under uncultured bacterium. RNAcentral describes it as "partial 16S ribosomal RNA". It matches the Rfam family "Bacterial small subunit ribosomal RNA", at positions 28 to 507 of the family's 1533-position model. The record is from RNAcentral.
GACGAACGCUGGCGGCGUGCUUAACACAUGCAAGUCGAACGGAAAGGCCCUGCUUUUGUGGGGUGCUCGAGUGGCGAACGGGUGAGUAACAAGUGAGUAACCUGCCCUUGACUUUGGGAUAACUUCAGGAAACAGGGGCUAAUAACGGAUAGGAGCUCCUGCUGCAUGGUGGGGGGUGGAAAGUUUCGGCGGCUGGGGAUGGUCUCGCGGCUUAUCAGGUUGUUGGUGGGGUAGUGGCUUACGAAGGCUUUGACGGGUAGCCGGCCUGGGAGGGUGACCGGCCACAUUGGGACUGGGAUACGGCCCAGACUCCUACGGGAGGCAGAAGUGAGGAAUAUUGCACAAUGGGCGGAGGCCUGAUGCAGCAACGCCGCGUGCGGGAUGACGGCCUUCGGGUUGUAAACCGCUUUCGCCUGUGACGAAGCGUGAGUGACGGUAAUGGGUAAAGAAGCACCGGCUAACUACGUG